Molecule: ribosomal RNA, 258 nt
Filed under: uncultured dinoflagellate
Lineage: Eukaryota; Dinophyceae
Description: partial 18S ribosomal RNA
Rfam family: Eukaryotic small subunit ribosomal RNA (bases 97-258)
Source: RNAcentral
UAUUUGUUGAGAACUGCCGGUCUACCCCAGUGGUCAGCACACGGUUUGUUCUCGGCACUUUCCUGGGGAGAGUGUUUGCACUUCACUGUGUGGCACAUGAUCCAGAACUUUUACUUUGAGGAAAUGAGAGUGUUUCAAGCAGGCGCCUGUCGUGAAUACGUUAGCAUGGAAUAAUAGCAUGGGACCGCGGUCUGAAGCUGUUGGUUUUCGGGCCGUGGUAAUGAAAAUAGGGAUAGUUGGGGGUAUUCGUAUUUAACU